RNAcentral lists this ribosomal RNA (406 nucleotides) under uncultured bacterium. Its description in RNAcentral is "partial 16S ribosomal RNA". It matches the Rfam family "Bacterial small subunit ribosomal RNA", at positions 28 to 526 of the family's 1533-position model. The record is from RNAcentral.
GACGCACGCUGGCGGCGUGCUUAACACAUGCAAGUCGAACGAGCGGCGGACGGGUGAGUCAUGUCUGUGAACCUGCCUGAUGGCGGGGGAUAACGAAUGGAAACGGUAGCUCAUACCGCCUAACAUCAGCUGUGCCCAGAUUGGAUUAGCUAGUAGGUGGGGUAAAGGCUCACAUCGGCGACGAUCCCUAGCUGGUCUGAGAGGAGGACCGGCCAAACUGGAACUGAGAUACGGUCCAGACUCCUACGGGAGGCAGCAGUGGGGAAGAUUGCACAAUGGGCGCAAGCCUGAUGCAGCCAUGCCGCGUGUGUGAAGAAGGCCUUCGGGUUGUAAAGCACGUUCAGCGAGGAGGCGUUACUCGCAGAAGAAGCACAGGCUAACUCCGUGCCAGCAGCCGCGGUAAUUC